AGACUCAAAACACAAUGCUAGACAAGUGUUUCUUUAUCCUUGACAUCUUGAACAAGAUGAGAGACCAUGCCAUCAAACGAGCCGCUUGCAUAGUUUAGCGAAACCAACUAUUGUAACGUAAUUGUUAUAUUUUAAAGUCACAACUCACAACAAUUUCUUUUUUGUCAUUGUUUCGUAGAAAUUCGUGACAUACAUUUAGUCCUUCAAUCGUCAUAAACUGGCCACACAAGAUUCAGUCACAUAUUCGUCAUCUAUCCUAUACUAAAAGGGGGAUAUCCUCCCUUCUCAGCCCCUCCACGUAGGACUAAAAAAUCUACCAAUGAAGAACAUAUUUUUUGACACGUCAUAUCAGUCUAAAAAUGAAUAACAAUAAACUUCUCCGUGUGGGUUUACAAUAUUAAAGAUUGGCCCAGAUCGAGCCCACAUCUCAAAAUUCUAAAUUCCUAAUGAAGCGUUGAUUGUUUCUUCCAUAGAGACUCCGUCUUCUCCGUUUCCUAUAGCAGGCAAUAAAUCUCCAUUACUCUCUUCAACAAUCAAUUAUGUUCUUCACUCCCUCUUAAUGAAUUCGUCUCACCUCCCUUUCUUUCUCCUCCUUUAUAAACUUACUUCCAAAUAAACCUGAAGAUCCCCUGAACUGAAGUAAUGGCGAUGUAAGCCUAACAGUUCCAAAGCUAAAGCGCAUGAAUCGUAUCCUCCUCCAGGUAUUACCAAUCUGCGCCUUACGAAGGUGCCUGUCAGGGUACUUCUCAGCCUCAGCCUACACAACAAAAUACAAUCACUUCCUGCUAUCAUGAUCAUCACUAUUAGUACAACGCUAACUCUGAUUCAUUAAAGAGGAGAUUCAGUGGAAGAUAAGAUCAAAAGGAACAAGACCAAGAAUAUAUCACUCCAUCAAUAUGUUGUUCUCUAGGAAUACAAAGAACUGAUCAAAAAGGCAAGUCAUGGUCCUUCUCUACAGUCUGUCAAGCUAUGAAGGUUCUGAAACCGAAGGAAAUGUGAGAAUCAUUUUACAUCUUUCCUUUAUUAAAUAAUCUCAUGGAAGAACUUUCCUUUUGUAUGUAUAGUUGGAAUUUUUAGAAUGAUUGAAUCUCAACUUCAGGGUUAACGUAAGCUCAUCAUCGUCCUUUUUC
Molecule: long non-coding RNA, 1130 nt
Organism: Brassica napus (rape)
Lineage: Eukaryota; Viridiplantae; Streptophyta; Magnoliopsida; Brassicales; Brassicaceae
Exons: 3
Source: RefSeq, a predicted model, not a curated record